This 328-nucleotide ribosomal RNA is filed under the name uncultured eukaryote. RNAcentral's name for it is "partial 18S ribosomal RNA". It matches the Rfam family "Eukaryotic small subunit ribosomal RNA", at positions 1470 to 1796 of the family's 1831-position model. The record is from RNAcentral.
CCCUUAGAUGUUCUGGGCCGCACGCGCGCUACACUGACGAAUGCAACGAGCUUAUAACCUUGGCCGAAAGGUCUGGGUAAUCUCCAAAUUUCGUCGUGAUGGGGAUAGAUUAUUGCAAUUAUUAAUCUUCAACGAGGAAUGCCUAGUAAGCGCAAGUCAUCAGCUUGCGUUGAUUACGUCCCUGCCCUUUGUACACACCGCCCGUCGCUCCUACCGAUUGAAUGAUCCGGUGAGGCCCCCGGAUUGUGGCAAUGGCUCUGGUUCGCCAGACCAAUGCUGCGAGAAGCUGUCCAAACCUUAUCAUUUAGAGGAAGGAGAAGUCGUAACA